UGCAACCAUGCUAGUUUCUUCUUGGAUUUCUUGUUUUUCUUUUUUAAUGGUAUUGUGUUGGACUGGGCUCUUAUCAUAUUUUUCAGAGUUUGAUAAUGGGCUUUUACUAACUCAUAAUUGUUACCUUCUUAUGUUGUAAUUGUCAGUUUUUAGCUGUUUGCUUGGCUUGUUCAAGAACAAUUUUUCUGAGUUCACACACUUUCUCUUUUUCCCUUUUUCCUCACUGAUUACAAAACUGUUAACUUUUUUGAUUCAUGCUGCCAACAAGUAAGUCAUUUCAAGGUAGAAAAUAGGGUGUGGUUUGCAGGAGAUAGUGCCAGUGGUGGGAUUCAGCCUGUUCAUACCGGUUCAGGAGAACUGGUAGCUAAAUGUUAUUGAGUUCGGAUAACUGAUUGAACCUACAUUGCUUCUGGAAGUCUGUUCUAGGCCUGGGAGGCCUGGAGGAGGCCUCCCAAGCCUAGAACGGCCCACAGGAAGUGUGUGGAUGUCACUUCCAGAAGUCCAUUCUAGGCCUCGGAGGCCCAGGCCUGCACCCACGCAGAGAACCAGUUGUUUGGGUAUUUGAAUACCACCACUGGAUAGUGCCUAGAUCUGUAGGUGAUGACCAGGCUGAGCCUGAGAGAGGGGUCAAAUGCAUCAUCAGUCUUGAGCCCCCUGGCACCCACAAGAGAGCCAAGUCCAGCCCACCUUGAUUUCUGUUGACUCUUACGUUCUACUAAUUUGCUUUGACCAUUAGUAGUUCAUAUUCUUGUUGAGAGCUUAAGCUUGCAAUAAAUCUAUAUAUUCAUUUGAACUGCCUGGAUCCUGAUUUUCUGUGCUUGACAAUAUGAGUGUUAGCUGUAGGGAUAGAGGUCAUGUAAAGUUUGUGUGUAGCACACUGCCUCGGCUCAAAUACAUGAUCUCACCCCGUUCAUAUCACCAUGGUGAUGUAGGAAACUACCUCAGGCUGGUACAUGAUUUCACCUGGUUCACAUGAUCUCAUCUCGUUCACACCAACAGGAUGUAGCAGAAAACUGCCCCUGUUGGUGCCCCUGGCUGAUAUAUUCUUAAGGAUUGACAAGGAGAAUCUACCAAUAAAAAUGCCGUUGCUAUGCUGUUGCUAUGUUAUCUUUUGCUGUUUGGAAAACUGUAUAAAGCAAUAAACGCUGCAAAAGGCAGUGAGUUAUAUUGGCAUCCUGCUAUGACUGGUCUCUGAUUCCGACAGCUGGAGGCCCCAGCGAGAUCACCCCCCCAUGGGUAGCAACAAUCAACAUAUUUACCAGCAUCUGGAACAGACCUCUAGGUGAACCUUCGUCCUCUGGGACCCCUCAGUGGACAUUUGUGGAUUCCAGCGCAUUGUGUCCGCCCAGCCAAGGAUGUCAUGGCACCAGUCCCUGGAUCCAGUCCCAGAAAUGGCAAGGGUGACUCUACAGAUGGCACAGCGACCAAUCCGAUCCCGUUGUGCUAAUCAGCCAGUGACGUGGGGAGAUGUGAAGAACCUGACCACCAAAGCCCAGGCAGUGCUGCAGCAGCAGCAAGUAGAACAAACCCCCGAGAACUUAUGUAUAAAGCAAUAAACACUGCGAAAGGCAGUGAGAUAUAUUGGCA
Molecule: long non-coding RNA, 1587 nt
Organism: Crotalus tigris (Tiger rattlesnake)
Lineage: Eukaryota; Metazoa; Chordata; Lepidosauria; Squamata; Viperidae
Exons: 2
Source: RefSeq, a predicted model, not a curated record